CACCGUAUGGUCUAGUGGUUAAGACGUCCGGCACGUACCCGGAAGACUCAGGUUCGAUUCCUGGUUCGGUAG
Non-coding RNA from Glossina austeni, 72 nucleotides. Lineage: Eukaryota; Metazoa; Arthropoda; Insecta; Diptera; Glossinidae. The record is from Rfam.